UACGUAGGGUGCAAGCGUUGUCCGGAAUUAUUGGGCGUAAAGAGCUCGUAGGCGGUCUGUCGCGUCGGCUGUGAAAACCCGGGGCUCAACCCCGGGCCUGCAGUCGAUACGGGCAGACUAGAGUGUGGUAGGGGAGACUGGAAUUCCUGGUGUAGCGGUGAAAUGCGCAGAUAUCAGGAGGAACACCAAUGGCGAAGGCGGGUCUCUGGGCCGAUACUGACGCUGAGGAGCGAAAGCGUGGGGAGCGAACAGG
Molecule: ribosomal RNA, 253 nt
Filed under: uncultured bacterium
Lineage: Bacteria
Description: partial 16S ribosomal RNA
Rfam family: Bacterial small subunit ribosomal RNA
Source: RNAcentral